This 68-nucleotide transfer RNA is filed under the name Macrotus californicus (California big-eared bat). Its description in RNAcentral is "tRNA-Phe". It matches the Rfam family "tRNA". Rfam says of the family: Transfer RNA (tRNA) molecules are approximately 80 nucleotides in length. Their secondary structure includes four short double-helical elements and three loops (D, anti-codon, and T loops). Further hydrogen bonds mediate the characteristic L-shaped molecular structure. tRNAs have two regions of fundamental functional importance: the anti-codon, which is responsible for specific mRNA codon recognition, and the 3' end, to which the tRNAs corresponding amino acid is attached (by aminoacyl-tRNA synthetases). tRNAs cope with the degeneracy of the genetic code in two manners: having more than one tRNA (with a specific anti-codon) for a particular amino acid; and 'wobble' base-pairing, i.e. permitting non-standard base-pairing at the 3rd anti-codon position. The record is from RNAcentral. Lineage: Eukaryota; Metazoa; Chordata; Mammalia; Chiroptera; Phyllostomidae.
GUUAAUGUAGCUUAACAAUAAAGCAAAGCACUGAAAAUGCUUAGAUGAGUUUCCACACUCCAUAAACA